Molecule: ribosomal RNA, 499 nt
Filed under: uncultured bacterium
Lineage: Bacteria
Description: partial 16S ribosomal RNA
Rfam family: Bacterial small subunit ribosomal RNA
Source: RNAcentral
ACUCAAAGGAAUUGACGGGGGCCCGCACAAGCGGUGGAGCAUGUGGUUUAAUUCGAUGCAACGCGAAGAACCUUACCUACCCUUGACAUCUAGCGAAUCCUGCUGAGAGGCGGGAGUGCCGAAAGGAACGCUAAGACAGGUGCUGCAUGGCUGUCGUCAGCUCGUGUUGUGAGAUGUUGGGUUAAGUCCCGUAACGAGCGCAACCCUUAUGCUUAGUUGCCAACAUGUAAUGGUGGGGACUCUAAGGAGACUGCCGGUGAUGAACCGGAGGAAGGCGGGGACGACGUCAAGUCAUCAUGGCCUUUAUGGGUAGGGCUACACACGUGCUACAAUGGUCAGUACAGAGGGAAGCGAAAGCGCGAGCUGAAGCCAAUCCGAAAAAGCUGAUCGUAGUCCGGAUCGGAGUCUGCAACUCGACUCCGUGAAGUCGGAAUCGCUAGUAAUCGCGAAUCAGCAUGUCGCGGUGAAUACGUUCCCGGGCCUUGUACACACCGCCCGU